GCGUAUAGAACCUACCUUAUAGUAAGGAAUAGCCCAGAGAAAUUUGGAUUAAUACCUUAUAGUAUUAUUGAUUGGCAUCGAUUAAUAAUUAAAGAUUUAUUGCUAUAAGAUGGCUAUGCGUUCUAUUAGCUAGUUGGUAUGGUAACGGCAUACCAAGGCUACGAUAGAUAGGGGUCCUGAGAGGGAGAUCCCCCACACUGGUACUGAGACACGGACCAGACUCCUACGGGAGGCAGCAGUGAGGAAUAUUGGACAAUGGAGGCAACUCUGAUCCAGCCAUGCCGCGUGUAGGAAGACUGCCCUAUGGGUUGUAAACUACUUUUAUAGAGGAAGAAACCCCGAUAUGUAUAUCGGUCUGACGGUACUCUACGAAUAAGGAUCGGCUAACUCCGUGCCAGCAGCCGCGGUAAUACGGAGGAUCCAAGCGUUAUCCGGAAUCAUUGGGUUUAAAGGGUCCGUAGGCGGUUUUGUAAGUCAGUGGUGAAAGUUUUCGGCUCAACCGGAAAAUUGCCAUUGAUACUGCAAGACUUGAAUUAUUGUGAAGUGGUUAGAAUGUGUAGUGUAGCGGUGAAAUGCAUAGAUAUUACACAGAAUACCGAUUGCGAAGGCAGAUCACUAACAAUAUAUUGACGCUAAGGGACGAAAGCGUGGGUAGCGAACAGGAUUAGAUACCCUGGUAGUCCACGCCGUAAACGAUGGUUACUAGCUGUUCGGACUUCGGUCUGAGUGGCUAAGCGAAAGUGAUAAGUAACCCACCUGGGGAGUACGUUCGCAAGAAUGAAACUCAAAGGAAUUGACGGGGGCCCGCACAAGCGGUGGAGCAUGUGGUUUAAUUCGAUGAUACGCGAGGAACCUUACC
RNAcentral lists this ribosomal RNA (859 nucleotides) under Aquimarina sp. AD10. RNAcentral's name for it is "bacterial SSU rRNA". It matches the Rfam family "Bacterial small subunit ribosomal RNA", at positions 115 to 975 of the family's 1533-position model. The record is from RNAcentral. Lineage: Bacteria; Pseudomonadati; Bacteroidota; Flavobacteriia; Flavobacteriales; Flavobacteriaceae.